UAGAGUAUGCUUCACUAAGAAAGACAA
This 27-nucleotide non-coding RNA is filed under the name Mus musculus (house mouse). Lineage: Eukaryota; Metazoa; Chordata; Mammalia; Rodentia; Muridae. The record is from RNAcentral.